This is a long non-coding RNA of Oncorhynchus tshawytscha (Chinook salmon), 1216 nucleotides long. The record is from Ensembl. Lineage: Eukaryota; Metazoa; Chordata; Actinopteri; Salmoniformes; Salmonidae.
UAUAUAUAUAUAUACAUAUAUAUAUAUACAUAUAUAUAUAUAUAUACACAUAUAUAUAUAUAUACACAUAGUUGAAGUCAGAAGUUUACAUUCAUCUUAGCCAAAUACAUUUAAACUCAUGAUUUUAUCCCUGUAAAAAUUCCCUGUUUUAGGUCAGAGGAUCACCACUUUAUUUUAUGAAUGUGAAAUGUCAGAAUAAUAGUAGAGAGAAUGAUUUAUUUCAGAUUUGAUUUCUUUCAUCACAUUCCCAGUGGGUCAGAAGUUUACAAACACUCAAUUAGUAUGCCCUGGCAUUCAUUCAUCAAUUCACGUGUGCCUUUAUUUAUCUAUUUAUAUGUGCAUGCUUUUAUUUCAAAUGAUGACAGGUUUGGUCUAUACAUCUAUACUGGCACCGACUACACUUGUUCAGCUGCAUCACCAUUGACAGAAACAAAUAAAAAACAUUUGGACCAAAUAUCCCAAUAGUGGUCGGUAGACCAUAGUCCUAUGUAUUAGAGUGCAUCGAUACAGCACCGACCAGUCACAGUCGGAUGUAAUUGAAAUACAAUACUUUUGUAUUAGAGAGUGCAUCAAUGCAGCAGUCAUCAGUCACCAUUUCAGGAGCUGUUAUUGAGGAUGUGGUUCUGAUAAUCUCCUCAUGCAGUGUCAGCAGAUUCUGAGUCAUCUCCAAGGACAGGUCAGGGGAGUGGAUUCCGCUGAAAUCUCUGAUAAGUUUCAAAGAGCUGGGAUCCGACUUGACCAAGAGGCUCUACAGGAGGUUGUCCAAUUUCUCUUCUUAACGUUCAGGUAUUGUAGCUGUUUGUGAUCCGCAACCACUCAUCGGCAAGUUGCAAAAAAAUAUAUAUAUAUCCAGCGUUCAGCACAUGGAUUUUGUUUGCUCCCCUUUGGGAUAGGUCAGGAACCAGUGGUGGGGUAGUGGCUUCAGGGCCAUGGCUAUGAUUUGUUACUAAAGUAAUUGGUUUUAUGUAUUUGGAGAGUCAUAAGGAUAUUCCAUGGUGGGUGAGUUGUGGGUUUAAAUGCAUUUGGAAAGUAUAGAGACCCCUUGACUUUUACACAUUUUUGUUACGUUACAGCUAUAUUUUAAAAUUGAUGAGGUAAUGUAAUUUUUAUCUGUCGACACACAAUUUCCCAUAAUGACAAAGGGGGAACAGAUUUUUAUCAUUCUUUUGCAAAUGUAUUUAAAAAAUAAUAAAAUAAACAUUUACAUUAGUUUUCA